UAUCUACAGGCUUAACACAUGCAAGUCGAGGGGCAGCAUGGUCUUAGCUUGCUAAGGCCGAUGGCGACCGGCGCACGGGUGAGUAACACGUAUCCAACCUGCCGUCUACUCUUGGACAGCCUUCUGAAAGGAAGAUUAAUACAAGAUGGCAUCAUGAGUCCGCAUGUUCACAUGAUUAAAGGUAUUCCGGUAGACGAUGGGGAUGCGUUCCAUUAGAUAGUAGGCGGGGUAACGGCCCACCUAGUCUUCGAUGGAUAGGGGUUCUGAGAGGAAGGUCCCCCACAUUGGAACUGAGACACGGUCCAAACUCCUACGGGAGGCAGCAGUGAGGAAUAUUGGUCAAUGGGCGAGAGCCUGAACCAGCCAAGUAGCGUGAAGGAUGACUGCCCUAUGGGUUGUAAACUUCUUUUAUAAAGGAAUAAAGUCGGGUAUGGAUACCCGUUUGCAUGUACUUUAUGAAUAAGGAUCGGCUAACUCCGUGCCAGCAGCCGCGGUAAUACGGAGGAUCCGAGCGUUAUCCGGAUUUAUUGGGUUUAAAGGGAGCGUAGAUGGAUGUUUAAGUCAGUUGUGAAAGUUUGCGGCUCAACCGUAAAAUUGCAGUUGAUACUGGAUAUCUUGAGUGCAGUUGAGGCAGGCGGAAUUCGUGGUGUAGCGGUGAAAUGCUUAGAUAUCACGAAGAACUCCGAUUGCGAAGGCAGCCUGCUAAGCUGCAACUGACAUUGAGGCUCGAAAGUGUGGGUAUCAAACAGGAUUAGAUACCCUGGUAGUCCACACGGUAAACGAUGAAUACUCGCUGUUUGCGAUAUACUGCAAGCGGCCAAGCGAAAGCGUUAAGUAUUCCACCUGGGGAGUACGCCGGCAACGGUGAAACUCAAAGGAAUUGACGGGGGCCCGCACAAGCGGAGGAACAUGUGGUUUAAUUCGAUGAUACGCGAGGAACCUUACCCGGGCUUAAAUUGCAGAUGAAUUACGGUGAAAGCCGUAAGCCGCAAGGCAUCUGUGAAGGUGCUGCAUGGUUGUCGUCAGCUCGUGCCGUGAGGUGUCGGCUUAAGUGCCAUAACGAGCGCAACCCUUGUUGUCAGUUACUAACAGGUUCCGCUGAGGACUCUGACAAGACUGCCAUCGUAAGAUGUGAGGAAGGUGGGGAUGACGUCAAAUCAGCACGGCCCUUACGUCCGGGGCUACACACGUGUUACAAUGGGGGGUACAGAGGGCCGCUACCACGCGAGUGGAUGCCAAUCCCCAAAACCUCUCUCAGUUCGGACUGGAGUCUGCAACCCGACUCCACGAAGCUGGAUUCGCUAGUAAUCGCGCAUCAGCCACGGCGCGGUGAAUACGUUCCCGGGCCUUGUACACACCGCCCGUCAAGCCAUGGGAGCCGGGGGUACCUGAAGUGCGUAACCGCGAGGAGCGCCCUAGGGUAAAACUGGUGACUG
Molecule: ribosomal RNA, 1436 nt
Filed under: uncultured bacterium
Lineage: Bacteria
Description: bacterial SSU rRNA
Rfam family: Bacterial small subunit ribosomal RNA
Source: RNAcentral